AAGAUGUUACUCGACCUGGACUACUGAGGGGCUGGAUUCAUAUCUUAAGGGGUUGGUGUAAGCACGAAGAACAGCCCACAGACGACUAUGAUCAUCCAGACGCAGAACCUUACAUUUGCCCUCGGGCCUUCUGGGAGAUAAGCUCAUUUCAGCUCACAUUUUAUUCUUCUGGAUCGGCUUGACUUGGAGAAGACAGAAAACACCAAGUAAAAUCUUGAAUGGAUUUCUCAGCCUUCUGUCUGCUUGACUUUUACAUAAAGUGAGAAAUAGGCUCAGCAUUAGCUGUGGCCUUCUGCGAUAAUCUAAUAGAGAAAAUCUGUGGAGAGCCCUGAGAAUAACUUCAUAGUAAGUGAGCAUCCAAAAUUGAAUGACACAGAGAUCAUUUUGAUAUCUAUUGAAGAAAUCUCCUCGAUAACCCACUCCACUCAACCCUUCUGAGGUUUGCGCGCCAUGACACCUCACUGGGUCUGUGCCUUCAUUUGGUGGCAAAAUUAACUGCCGUCUUCGUUAUCUUUGGAAAGAGGGACACAGCUGAUGGUUUACAGUCAAACUGAGCUGGGAAGCAAACUUUCCUGCGUGAUCUCUACUUCAAGCCGCGGGUACAAUACCCAAACUGCUAACACCAACACACUGACACCUUGAUUGCAGGAAACAGUAUAUAGUUCUUCCCCACCCCUACAUGAAAAGAGAGAGAAGAGUACAGUACUUACGGAGGUGUAAGAUGCUCAUAUGCAGGAGGACUUAAUGAUCCCUGCAAGCUACCCGUCUUGGGGAAGAUGGAAUCGGGACAGGAAGGAGUUUGCGAUCAUAUUCAGGAAUGAAGGAAGACAACUUUCAUUUAAAAAUUCUUAUUUUAAGUAUCGUCUUUAAGUAUAACUUACCUUCUCUAACAGCAUAAAAGAAAGCCUGAAAUGUGCAAAGGGCUUUAGCUCAAUGGCGCUUCUUUAUGGAGUUUCAACAAAGAGAACUGAUUUCUUCUAAAGGACUUCAUAAUAUGAUAGGAAAAAUUAUCAGAGAUAAUGAGGAGAAAAUGGUAUUACAGUCCCGGAAGAAAAACACCUUAUAAGAGAUCCAGAAAUUCAGCACAAUCUUGAGUUAGAAUCCCAGUUGGGAUUGGCAUUUUGCAAUGCAUUAAAACAGCAAUGAUUAGUGCACUGAGCCACAAGGCUGACUUCGUCGAUCAUUCUCCAUCAAAACCCACAUUUUUUUAAAUAACAGUACACCACUGGACCCAAAUUCAGUGGUUUCCCAGAGACCAAUUUUUACUGUCAGAUGUUAAUAAACUAGUGUCAGCAUAGUUGGAUGAUU
Long non-coding RNA from Callorhinus ursinus (northern fur seal), 1308 nucleotides. RefSeq lists it as uncharacterized. NCBI's taxonomy places the organism in Eukaryota, Metazoa, Chordata, Mammalia, Carnivora, Otariidae. The record is from RefSeq and is a predicted model, not a curated record.